UACGGAGGGUGCAAGCGUUAAUCGGAAUUACUGGGCGUAAAGCGCACGCAGGCGGUUUGUUAAGUCAGAUGUGAAAUCCCCGGGCUCAACCUGGGAACUGCAUCUGUGACUGGCAAGCUUGAGUCUCGUAGAGGGGGAUGGAAUUCCAGGUGUAGCAGUGAAAUGCGUAGAGAUGUGGAGGAAUACCGAUGGCGAAGGCAGCCCCCUGGACGAAUACUGACGCUCAUGUGCGAAAGCGUGGGGAGCAAACAGG
Molecule: ribosomal RNA, 253 nt
Filed under: uncultured bacterium
Lineage: Bacteria
Description: partial 16S ribosomal RNA
Rfam family: Bacterial small subunit ribosomal RNA
Source: RNAcentral